RNAcentral lists this ribosomal RNA (460 nucleotides) under uncultured bacterium. Its description in RNAcentral is "partial 16S ribosomal RNA". It matches the Rfam family "Bacterial small subunit ribosomal RNA", at positions 338 to 795 of the family's 1533-position model. The record is from RNAcentral.
CCUACGGGAGGCAGCAGUGAGGAAUAUUGGUCAAUGGACGAGAGUCUGAACCAGCCAAGUAGCGUGAAGGAUGACUGCCCUAUGGGUUGUAAACUUCUUUUAUAUGGGAAUAACAUGUUCCACGUGGGGGAUUUUGUAUGUAUCAGAUGAAUAAGGAGCGGCUAGCUCCGUGCCAGCAGCCGCGGUAAUACGGAGGAUCCGAGCGUUAUCCGGAUUGAGUGGGUUUAAAGGGAGCGUAGGUGGAUUGUUAAGUCAGUGGUGAAAGUUUGCGGCUCAACCGUAAAAUUGCAGUUGAAACUGGCAGUCUGGAGUACAGUAGAGGUGGUCGGAAUUCGUGGUGUAGCGGUGAAAUGCUUAGAUAUCACGAAGAACUCCGAUUGCGAAGGCAGUUCACUGGACUGCAACUGACACUGAGGCUCGAAAGUGUGGGUAUCAAACAGGAUUAGAUACCCGUGUAGUC